CUCUCCGUAGUUCAAUGGAUAGAACGAGCGCCUCCUAAGCGCUAGAUGCAGGUUCGAUUCCUGUCGGAGAGACCA
RNAcentral lists this transfer RNA (75 nucleotides) under Comamonas terrigena. RNAcentral describes it as "tRNA-Arg". It matches the Rfam family "tRNA". Rfam says of the family: Transfer RNA (tRNA) molecules are approximately 80 nucleotides in length. The record is from RNAcentral. Lineage: Bacteria; Pseudomonadati; Pseudomonadota; Betaproteobacteria; Burkholderiales; Comamonadaceae.